This 42-nucleotide ribosomal RNA is filed under the name Simulium paraequinum. RNAcentral's name for it is "partial 28S ribosomal RNA". The record is from RNAcentral. Lineage: Eukaryota; Metazoa; Arthropoda; Insecta; Diptera; Simuliidae.
UAGCCUCAACUCAUGUGAGACUACCCCCCUAAAUUUAAGCAU